This 465-nucleotide ribosomal RNA is filed under the name uncultured bacterium. Its description in RNAcentral is "partial 16S ribosomal RNA". It matches the Rfam family "Bacterial small subunit ribosomal RNA", at positions 338 to 795 of the family's 1533-position model. The record is from RNAcentral.
CCUACGGGAGGCUGCAGUAGGGAAUCUUCCACAAUGGGCGCAAGCCUGAUGGAGCAACACCGCGUGAGUGAAGAAGGGUUUCGGCUCGUAAAGCUCUGUUGUUGGAGAAGAACGUGCGUGAGAGUAACUGUUCACGCAGUGACGGUAUCCAACCAGAAAGUCACGGCUAACUACGUGCCAGCAGCCGCGGUAAUACGUAGGUGGCAAGCGUUAUCCGGAUUUAUUGGGCGUAAAGCGAGCGCAGGCGGUUGCUUAGGUCUGAUGUGAAAGCCUUCGGCUUAACCGAAGAAGUGCAUCGGAAACCGGGCGACUUGAGUGCAGAAGAGGACAGUGGAACUCCAUGUGUAGCGGUGGAAUGCGUAGAUAUAUGGAAGAACACCAGUGGCGAAGGCGGCCUUCCGGCGCCCUACUGACGCUGAGGCACGAAAGUGCGGGGAUCGAACAGGAUUAGAUACCCCUGUAGUC